This 253-nucleotide ribosomal RNA is filed under the name uncultured bacterium. RNAcentral describes it as "partial 16S ribosomal RNA". It matches the Rfam family "Bacterial small subunit ribosomal RNA", at positions 524 to 776 of the family's 1533-position model. The record is from RNAcentral.
UACGUAGGGUGCAAGCGUUGUCCGGAUUCAUUGGGCGUAAAGGGUGCGUAGGCGGUCGUGCAAGUCGGAUGUGAAAUCUCAGGGCUCAACCCUGAAACUGCAUUCGAUACUGCGUGGCUAGAGUGCUGGAGAGGAGACUGGAAUUUACGGUGUAGCAGUGAAAUGCGUAGAUAUCGUAAGGAAGACCAGUGGCGAAGGCGAGUCUCUGGACAGCAACUGACGCUGAGGCACGAAGGCCAGGGGAGCAAACGGG